RNAcentral lists this ribosomal RNA (466 nucleotides) under uncultured bacterium. RNAcentral describes it as "partial 16S ribosomal RNA". It matches the Rfam family "Bacterial small subunit ribosomal RNA", at positions 28 to 507 of the family's 1533-position model. The record is from RNAcentral.
GACGAACGCUGGCGGCGUGCUUAACACAUGCAAGUCGAACGGAAAGGCCCUGCUUGCAGGGUACUCGAGUGGCGAACGGGUGAGUAACACGUGGGUGAUCUGCCCUGCACUUCGGGAUAAGCUUGGGAAACUGGGUCUAAUACCGGAUAGGAACCAUCUUUAGUGUGGUGGUUGGAAAGUUUUUUCGGUGUAGGAUGAGCUCGCGGCCUAUCAGCUUGUUGGUGGGGUAAUGGCCUACCAAGGCGGCGACGGGUAGCCGGCCUGAGAGGGUGUACGGCCACAUUGGGACUGAGAUACGGCCCAGACUCCUACGGGAGGCAGCAGUGGGGAAUAUUGCACAAUGGGCGCAAGCCUGAUGCAGCGACGCCGCGUGGGGGAUGAAGGCCUUCGGGUUGUAAACUCCUUUCGCUAGGGACGAAGCUUUGUUGUGACGGUACCUAGAUAAGAAGCGCCGGCUAACUACGUG